AUACAUGCAAGUCGAGGGGCAGCACGGGUAGCAAUAUCUGGUGGCGACCGGCGCACGGGUGCGUAACACGUAUACAAUCUACCCUUAACAGGGGGAUAGCCCUCCGAAAGGAGGAUUAAUACCCCAUAAUAAAUUGAAUGGCAUCAUUUGAUUUUGAAAGUUCCGACGGUUAAGGAUGAGUAUGCGUCUGAUUAGCUAGUUGGUGAGGUAAAGGCUCACCAAGGCAACGAUCAGUAGGGGAUCUGAGAGGACUACCCCCCACACUGGUACUGAGACACGGACCAGACUCCUACGGGAGGCAGCAGUAAGGAAUAUUGGUCAAUGGAGGCAACUCUAAACCAGCCAUGCCGCGUGCAGGAAGACGGCCCUAUGGGUUGUAAACUGCUUUUGUACGGGAGAAAACCCUUUCACGUGUGAGAGGUUGAUAGUACCGUAAGAAUAAGCAUCGGCUAACUUCGUGCCAGCAGCCGCGGUAAGACGAAGGAUGCAAGCGUUAUCCGGAUUCAUUGGGUUUAAAGGGAGCGUAGGUGGACUUGUAAGUCAGUGGUGAAAUCUCUCAGCUUAACUGAGAAACUGCCAUUGAUACUGCAGGUCUUGAGUACAGAUGAUGUGGGCGGAAUAUGAUAUGUAGUGGUGAAAUACUUAGAUAUGUCAUAGAACACCGAUUGCGAAGGCAGCUCACAAAACUGUAA
RNAcentral lists this ribosomal RNA (692 nucleotides) under uncultured Bacteroidota bacterium. RNAcentral describes it as "bacterial SSU rRNA". It matches the Rfam family "Bacterial small subunit ribosomal RNA", at positions 51 to 739 of the family's 1533-position model. The record is from RNAcentral. Lineage: Bacteria; Pseudomonadati; Bacteroidota.